RNAcentral lists this ribosomal RNA (497 nucleotides) under uncultured bacterium. Its description in RNAcentral is "partial 16S ribosomal RNA". It matches the Rfam family "Bacterial small subunit ribosomal RNA", at positions 28 to 507 of the family's 1533-position model. The record is from RNAcentral.
GAUGAACGCUGGCGGCGUGCCUAAUACAUGCAAGUCGAGCGAACAGAUAAGGAGCUUGCUCCUUUGACGUUAGCGGCGGACGGGUGAGUAACACGUGGGUAACCUACCUAUAAGACUGGGAUAACUUCGGGAAACCGGAGCUAAUACCGGAUAAUAUUUCGAACCGCAUGGUUCGAUAGUGAAAGAUGGUUUUGCUAUCACUUAUAGAUGGACCCGCGCCGUAUUAGCUAGUUGGUAAGGUAACGGCUUACCAAGGCGACGAUACGUAGCCGACCUGAGAGGGUGAUCGGCCACACUGGAACUGAGACACGGUCCAGACUCCUACGGGAGGCAGCAGUAGGGAAUCUUCCGCAAUGGGCGAAAGCCUGACGGAGCAACGCCGCGUGAGUGAUGAAGGUCUUCGGAUCGUAAAGCUCUGUUAUUAGGGAAGAACAUACGUGUAAGUAACUGUGCACGUCUUGACGGUACCUAAUCAGAAAGCCACGGCUAACUACGUG